Molecule: long non-coding RNA, 790 nt
Filed under: Nicotiana benthamiana
Lineage: Eukaryota; Viridiplantae; Streptophyta; Magnoliopsida; Solanales; Solanaceae
Description: long non-coding RNA (NBEN_LNC036753)
Source: RNAcentral
UUUAAGCAAAUAGGCAUUUUAAGUCAACUAAACAUGCUCUUCUAACUAACAACAGGUUAAGUCAACAAUUACAGUAAAGCAGAGGAAAGGGACAUGCAAGGAAUACUUUAAGAAAAAUCAAAGUUUUCAACAACUUGCACAAGCACGCACACAUCACCUCACGCACAAGGCAAUUAAAUUACCAAACAUCAUAUCCUAAGGGAAGGAGUCCCCUACACAAGGUUAGACAAGCCACUUACCUCGAAUCAGCUCAAAGUCAACUAGAAAUCAUGCCUUUGCCACGAGUAUCCGACUCCAAAUGGCCCAAAUUUAUUCAAUUCAAUUGCAUAUCCUAAAUAACAUCUCAAACAGCUGAUUCUACGAUUAAAUUCAAAGCUAAGAUGCGAAAUUAGGUAAAGUGACCAAAACUCCUCUCAGGCCAGCGUCACUUAAUCGGGUGAAACUUAUAUUUUCGGAAACCUCAUACUCUCACGAGUCUAUACAUAACAAGAACACAAAAAUUGGAGUUCAAAUGACCCCUCAAAUCCCAGAUCAAAAUUUAAAAUCCCAAGCACUAGUUCUUCCAUUUUUGUGCAAGUUUCCAUUAAUUUCUAGGUUAAUUUGGAGUUCAAAUGACCCUUCAAAUCCCAGAUUAAAAUUUAAAAAUCUCAACCCCUAAUUCUUACUUUUGAGUUCAAUUCAAUGAAUUUCUAGAUUAAGUUCACAAUAUAGUCACGUUUUUGGUAAAUAAACCUCCAAUUGAUUCUCUUGAAUUGCUUCAAUGCCUUUCUCUUUCUCUUCCUUCCUCAAG